GGGGAAUAUUGGACAAUGGGCGCAAGCCUGAUCCAGCAAUGCCGCGUGAGUGAUGAAGGCCUUAGGGUUGUAAAGCUCUUUCACCCACGACGAUGAUGACGGUAGUGGGAGAAGAAGCCCCGGCUAACUUCGUGCCAGCAGCCGCGGUAAUACGAAGGGGGCUAGCGUUGUUCGGAAUGACUGGGCGUAAAGGGCGCGUAGGCGGUUGACCAAGUUGGGGGUGAAAGCCCGGGGCUUAACCUCGGAAUUGCCUCCAAAACUGGUCGGCUUGAGUGUGGAAGAGGGUUGUGGAAUUCCCAGUGUAGAGGUGAAAUUCGUAGAUAUUGGGAAGAACACCAGUGGCGAAGGCGACAACCUGGUCCAUUACUGACGCUGAGGCGCGACAGCGUGGGGAGCAAAC
This 400-nucleotide ribosomal RNA is filed under the name uncultured bacterium. RNAcentral describes it as "bacterial SSU rRNA". It matches the Rfam family "Bacterial small subunit ribosomal RNA", at positions 356 to 773 of the family's 1533-position model. The record is from RNAcentral.